GAUGAACGCUGGCGGCGUGCCUAAUACAUGCAAGUCGAGCGAACAGACGAGGAGCUUGCUCCUCUGACGUUAGCGGCGGACGGGUGAGUAACACGUGGAUAACCUACCUAUAAGACUGGGAUAACUUCGGGAAACCGGAGCUAAUACCGGAUAACAUGUUGAACCGCAUGGUUCAACAGUGAAAGACGGUCUUGCUGUCACUUAUAGAUGGAUCCGCGCCGCAUUAGCUAGUUGGUAAGGUAACGGCUUACCAAGGCAACGAUGCGUAGCCGACCUGAGAGGGUGAUCGGCCACACUGGAACUGAGACACGGUCCAGACUCCUACGGGAGGCAGCAGUAGGGAAUCUUCCGCAAUGGGCGAAAGCCUGACGGAGCAACGCCGCGUGAGUGAAGAAGGUCUUCGGAUCGUAAAACUCUGUUAUUAGGGAAGAACAAAUGUGUAAGUAUCUAUGCACGUCUUGACGGUACCUAAUCAGAAAGCCACGGCUAACUACGUG
RNAcentral lists this ribosomal RNA (497 nucleotides) under uncultured bacterium. RNAcentral describes it as "partial 16S ribosomal RNA". It matches the Rfam family "Bacterial small subunit ribosomal RNA", at positions 28 to 507 of the family's 1533-position model. The record is from RNAcentral.